ACUACGGGUGGCAGCAGUGAGGAAUAUUGGUCAAUGGACGAGAGUCUGAACCAGCCAAGUAGCGUGAAGGAUGACUGCCCUACGGGUUGUAAACUUCUUUUAUAUAGGAAUAAAAUGAUGCACGUGUGCCUUUUUGUAUGUACUUUAUGAAUAAGGAUCGGCUAACUCCGUGCCAGCAGCCGCGGUAAUACGGAGGAUCCGAGCGUUAUCCGGAUUUAUUGGGUUUAAAGGGAGCGUAGGUGGGUUGUUAAGUCAGUUGUGAAAGUUUGCGGCUCAACCGUAAAAUUGCAAUUGAUACUGGCAGUCUUGAGUACAGUAGAGGUGGGCGGAAUUCGUGGUGUAGCGGUGAAAUGCUUAGAUAUCACGAAGAACUCCGAUUGCGAAGGCAGCUUACUGGACUGCAACUGACACUGAUGCUCGAAAGUGUGGGUAUCAAACAGGAUUAGAUACCCGAGUAGUC
This 460-nucleotide ribosomal RNA is filed under the name uncultured bacterium. Its description in RNAcentral is "partial 16S ribosomal RNA". It matches the Rfam family "Bacterial small subunit ribosomal RNA", at positions 338 to 795 of the family's 1533-position model. The record is from RNAcentral.